RNAcentral lists this ribosomal RNA (468 nucleotides) under uncultured bacterium. Its description in RNAcentral is "partial 16S ribosomal RNA". It matches the Rfam family "Bacterial small subunit ribosomal RNA", at positions 28 to 507 of the family's 1533-position model. The record is from RNAcentral.
GACGAACGCUGGCGGCGUGCUUAACACAUGCAAGUCGAACGGAAAGGCCCUGCUUUUGUGGGGUGCUCGAGUGGCGAACGGGUGAGUAACACGUGAGUAACCUGCCCUUGACUUUGGGAUAACUUCAGGAAACUGGGGCUAAUACCGGAUAGGAGCUCCUGCUGCAUGGUGGGGGUUGGAAAGUUUGGGCGGUUGGGGAUGGACUCGCGGCCUAUCAGCUUGUUGGUGGGGUAGUGGCUUACCAAGGCUUUGAAGGGUAGCCGGCCUGAGAGGGUGACCGGCCACAUUAGGACUGAGAUACGGCACAGACUCCUACGGGAGGCAGCGGUGGGGAAGAGUGCACAAGGGGCGGAAGCCUGAUGCAGCAACGCCGCGUGCGGGAUGACGGCCUGCGGGUUGGAUACCGAUUUCGCCUGUGCCGAAGCGUUAGUGACGGUAAUGGGUAAAGAAGCACCGGCUAACUACGUG